GAUGAACGCUGGCGGCGUGCCUAAUACAUGCAAGUCGAGCGAACGGACGAGAAGCUUGCUUCUCUGAUGUUAGCGGCGGACGGGUGAGUAACACGUGGAUAACCUACCUAUAAGACUGGGAUAACUUCGGGAAACCGGAGCUAAUACCGGAUGAUAUUUUGAACCGCAUGGUUCAAAAGUGAAAGACGGUCUUGCUGUCACUUAUAGAUGGAUCCGCGCUGCAUUAGCUAGUUGGUAAGGUAACGGCUUACCAAGGCAACGAUGCAUAGCCGGCCUGAGAGGGUGGUCGGCCACCCUGGAACUGAGACACGGUCCAGACUCCUACGGGCGGCAGCAGUAGGGAAUCUUCCGCAAUGGGCGAAAGCCUGACGGAGCAACGCCGCGUGAGUGAUGAAGGUCUUCGGAUCGUAAAACUCUGUUAUUAGGGAAGAACAUAUGUGUAAGUAACUGUGCACAUCUUGACGGUACCUAAUCAGAAAGCCACGGCUAACUACGUG
This 497-nucleotide ribosomal RNA is filed under the name uncultured bacterium. RNAcentral's name for it is "partial 16S ribosomal RNA". It matches the Rfam family "Bacterial small subunit ribosomal RNA", at positions 28 to 507 of the family's 1533-position model. The record is from RNAcentral.